GAGAUGAGUUCUCCCUGAGACUUUAAGUCUCCUGAAGGAACGUUGAAGACGACGACGUUGAUAGGCCGGGUGUGUAAGCGCAGCGAUGCGUUGAGCUAACCGGUACUAAUGAACCGUGAGGCUUAACCUUACAACGCCGAAG
RNAcentral lists this ribosomal RNA (142 nucleotides) under Klebsiella pneumoniae. Its description in RNAcentral is "partial 23S ribosomal RNA". It matches the Rfam family "Bacterial large subunit ribosomal RNA", at positions 2801 to 2925 of the family's 2925-position model. Lineage: Bacteria; Pseudomonadati; Pseudomonadota; Gammaproteobacteria; Enterobacterales; Enterobacteriaceae. The record is from RNAcentral. RNAcentral also lists the same sequence under 7 other names.